RNAcentral lists this ribosomal RNA (292 nucleotides) under uncultured bacterium. Its description in RNAcentral is "partial 16S ribosomal RNA". It matches the Rfam family "Bacterial small subunit ribosomal RNA", at positions 505 to 796 of the family's 1533-position model. The record is from RNAcentral.
GUGUCAGCAGCCGCGGUAAUACAGAGGGUGCUAGCGUUGUUCGGAAUUACUGGGCGUAAAGGGCGCGUAGGCGGCCUAUCAAGUCAGACGUGAAAGCCCCGGGCUUAACCUGGGAUGUGCGUUUGAUACUGGUAGGCUAGAGGUCUGGAGAGGAGAGUGGAAUUCCUAGUGUAGAGGUGAAAUUCGUAGAUAUUAGGAGGAACAUCAGUGGCGAAGGCGACUCUCUGGCCAGAUACUGACGCUGAGGCGCGAAAGCGUGGGGAGCAAACAGGAUUAGAUACCCGGGUAGUCC